This 245-nucleotide ribosomal RNA is filed under the name uncultured bacterium. Its description in RNAcentral is "partial 16S ribosomal RNA". It matches the Rfam family "Bacterial small subunit ribosomal RNA", at positions 524 to 768 of the family's 1533-position model. The record is from RNAcentral.
UACGGAGGGUGCAAGCGUUGUUCGGAAUUAUUGGGCGUAAAGGGCGCGUAGGCGGUUGUGUAAGUCAGAUGUGAAAUACUUCGGCUCAACUGAAGAACUGCAUUUGAUACUACAUAGCUAGAGUACAGAAGAGGGAAAUGGAAUUCCCGGUGUAGAGGUGAAAUUCGUAGAUAUCGGGAGGAACACCAGUGGCGAAGGCGAUUUCCUGGUCUGAUACUGACGCUGAGGCGCGAAAGCGUGGGGAG